UCCUGGUAAGCUAGUUGGUAGAGCGCUCCGCUGGAACCGGAGAGGACCCUGGUUCGAUAUCAGGACCAGACA
RNAcentral lists this transfer RNA (72 nucleotides) under Ixodes scapularis (black-legged tick). It matches the Rfam family "tRNA". Rfam says of the family: Transfer RNA (tRNA) molecules are approximately 80 nucleotides in length. Lineage: Eukaryota; Metazoa; Arthropoda; Arachnida; Ixodida; Ixodidae. The record is from Rfam by way of RNAcentral.